AGCGAACGCUGGCGGCAGGCCUAAUACAUGCAAGUCGAGCGGUCCCUUCGGGGGCAGCGGCGGACGGGUGAGUAACGCGUGGGAACGUGCCCUGAGGUACGGAAUAACUGCGGGAAACUGCAGCUAAUACCGUAUGAGCCCCUAACGGGGGAAAGAUUUAUCGCCUUGGGGAGCGGCCCGCGUCGGAUUAGCUAGUUGGUGGGGUAACGGCCUACCAAGGCUUCGAUCCGUAGCUGGUCUGAGAGGACGAUCAGCCACACUGGGACUGAGACACGGCCCAGACUCCUACGGGAGGCAGCAGUGGGGAAUCUUGCGCAAUGGGGGCAACCCUGACGCAGCCAUGCCGCGUGAAUGAUGAAGGCCUUAGGGUUGUAAAGUUCUUUUGCCCGUGACGAUGAUGACGGUAACGGGAGAAUAAGCUCCGGCUAACUUCGUG
Molecule: ribosomal RNA, 436 nt
Filed under: uncultured bacterium
Lineage: Bacteria
Description: bacterial SSU rRNA
Rfam family: Bacterial small subunit ribosomal RNA
Source: RNAcentral